CUGGAGAAUUGAGGGGGGCUGCUCCUAGUACGAGAGGACCGGAGUGGACGCAUCACUGGUGUUCGGGUUGUCAUGCCAAUGGCACUGCCCGGUAGCUACAUGCGGAAGAGAUAAGUGCUGAAAGCAUCUAAGCACGAAACUUGCCCCGAGAUGAGUUCUCCCUGAGACUUUAAGUCUCCUGAAGGAACGUUGAAGACGACGACGUUGAUAGGCCGGGUGUGUAAGCGCAGCGAUGCGUUGAGCUAACCGGUACUAAUGAGCCGUGAGGCUUAACCUUACAACGCCAGAGUGGUUU
RNAcentral lists this ribosomal RNA (295 nucleotides) under Klebsiella aerogenes. RNAcentral's name for it is "partial 23S ribosomal RNA". It matches the Rfam family "Bacterial large subunit ribosomal RNA", at positions 2652 to 2925 of the family's 2925-position model. The record is from RNAcentral. Lineage: Bacteria; Pseudomonadati; Pseudomonadota; Gammaproteobacteria; Enterobacterales; Enterobacteriaceae.